GGGGAAUCUUGCGCAAUGGGCGGAAGCCUGACGCAGCGACGCCGCGUGCGGGAGGAAGGCCCUCGGGUCGUAAACCGCUUUCAGCAGGGACGAGGCCGCAAGGUGACGGUACCUGCAGAAGAAGCCCCGGCUAACUACGUGCCAGCAGCCGCGGUAAUACGUAGGGGGCGAGCGUUAUCCGGAUUCAUUGGGCGUAAAGCGCUCGUAGGCGGCCUGCUAGGUCGGGAGUCAAAUGCGGGGGCCCAACCCCCGGCCGCUCCCGAUACCGGCGGGCUUGUGUUUGGUAGGGGACGGCGGAAUUCCCGGUCUAGCGGCUGAAUGCGCAGAUAGCGGGAAGAACAGUGGUGCCGAAGGCGGCCUUCUGAGCCACAACUGACGCGGAGGAGAGAGAGCUGGGGGAGCGAACA
Molecule: ribosomal RNA, 407 nt
Filed under: uncultured Olsenella sp.
Lineage: Bacteria; Bacillati; Actinomycetota; Coriobacteriia; Coriobacteriales; Atopobiaceae
Description: bacterial SSU rRNA
Rfam family: Bacterial small subunit ribosomal RNA
Source: RNAcentral